This 254-nucleotide ribosomal RNA is filed under the name uncultured bacterium. RNAcentral describes it as "partial 16S ribosomal RNA". It matches the Rfam family "Bacterial small subunit ribosomal RNA", at positions 524 to 776 of the family's 1533-position model. The record is from RNAcentral.
UACGGAGGAUCCGAGCGUUAUCCGGAUUUAUUGGGUUUAAAGGGUGCGUAGGCGGCCUGGUAAGUCAGGGGUGAAAGACGGUAGCUUAACUAUCGCAGUGCCCUUGAUACUGCUGGGCUUGAAUGUAGUUGAGGUAGGCGGAAUGUGACAAGUAGCGGUGAAAUGCAUAGAUAUGUCACAGAACACCAAUUGCGAAGGCAGCUUACUAAAAGUAUGAUUGACGCUGAGGCACGAAAGCGUGGGGAUCAAACAGG